CUUCUGGGCUCCACUGCAGUAGACGCUGAGAGAGGAGCUUGCUCUUCUUGGAUGAGUUGCGAACGGGUGAGUAACGCGUAGGUAACCUGCCUUGUAGCGGGGGAUAACUAUUGGAAACGAUAGCUAAUACCGCAUAACAAUGGAUGACACAUGUCAUUUAUUUGAAAGGGGCAAUUGCUCCACUACAAGAUGGACCUGCGUUGUAUUAGCUAGUAGGUGAGGUAAUGGCUCACCUAGGCGACGAUACAUAGCCGACCUGAGAGGGUGAUCGGCCACACUGGGACUGAGACACGGCCCAGACUCCUACGGGAGGCAGCAGUAGGGAAUCUUCGGCAAUGGGGGCAACCCUGACCGAGCAACGCCGCGUGAGUGAAGAAGGUUUUCGGAUCGUAAAGCUCUGUUGUAAGUCAAGAACGGGUGUGAGAGUGGAAAGUUCACACUGUGACGGUAGCUUACCAGAAAGGGACGGCUAACUACGUGCCAGCAGCCGCGGUAAUACGUAGGUCCCGAGCGUUGUCCGGAUUUAUUGGGCGUAAAGCGAGCGCAGGCGGUUUGAUAAGUCUGAAGUUAAAGGCUGUGGCUCAACCAUAGUUCGCUUUGGAAACUGUCAAACUUGAGUGCAGAAGGGGAGAGUGGAAUUCCAUGUGUAGCGGUGAAAUGCGUAGAUAUAUGGAGGAACACCGGUGGCGAAAGCGGCUCUCUGGUCUGUAACUGACGCUGAGGCUCGAAAGCGUGGGGAGCGAACAGGAUUAGAUACCCUGGUAGUCCACGCCGUAAACGAUGAGUGCUAGGUGUUGGAUCCUUUCCGGGAUUCAGUGCCGCAGCUAACGCAUUAAGCACUCCGCCUGGGGAGUACGACCGCAAGGUUGAAACUCAAAGGAAUUGACGGGGGCCCGCACAAGCGGUGGAGCAUGUGGUUUAAUUCGAAGCAACGCGAAGAACCUUACCAGGUCUUGACAUCCCGAUGCUAUUUCUAGAGAUAGAAAGUUACUUCGGUACAUCGGUGACAGGUGGUGCAUGGUAGUCGUCAGCUCGUGUCGUGAGAUGUUGGGUUAAGUCCCGCAACGAGCGCAACCCCUAUUGUUAGUUGCCAUCAUUCAGUUGGGCACUCUAGCGAGACUGCCGGUAAUAAACCGGAGGAAGGUGGGGAUGACGUCAAAUCAUCAUGCCCCUUAUGACCUGGGCUACACACGUGCUACAAUGGUUGGUACAACGAGUUGCGAGUCGGUGACGGCGAGCUAAUCUCUUAAAGCCAAUCUCAGUUCGGAUUGUAGGCUGCAACUCGCCUACAUGAAGUCGGAAUCGCUAGUAAUCGCGGAUCAGCACGCCGCGGUGAAUACGUUCCCGGGCCUUGUACACACCGCCCGUCACACCACGAGAGUUUGUAACACCCGAAUCGGUGAGGUAACCUUUUGGAGCCAGCCGCCUAAGGUGGGACAGAUGAUGGGGGAAGUCGAGACGCGAGAAAGCA
Molecule: ribosomal RNA, 1471 nt
Filed under: Streptococcus thermophilus
Lineage: Bacteria; Bacillati; Bacillota; Bacilli; Lactobacillales; Streptococcaceae
Description: bacterial SSU rRNA
Rfam family: Bacterial small subunit ribosomal RNA
Source: RNAcentral